This is a long non-coding RNA of Cottoperca gobio, 529 nucleotides long. RefSeq lists it as uncharacterized. The transcript has 5 exons. NCBI's taxonomy places the organism in Eukaryota, Metazoa, Chordata, Actinopteri, Perciformes, Bovichtidae. The record is from RefSeq and is a predicted model, not a curated record.
CACGUCACAUCCGGGUACUAUAUGUUUUGGUGAGUGUAGACCACACGGUCUUAAAACAUCCAGGAGUCGAACAGAGAGGACUGCAGAGAUGAUGCCAGGCUCUGCCCAGCUCAGACCUCCUGACUGACAUCUGUGCUCCAGUAUGACUUUGAAUUCAAAAGACUGCAGAGAUGAAGACAGGCUCUGCCCAGCUCAGACCUCCUGACUGACAUCUGAGGCUCCAGUAUGACUUAGCUAAAAAGAGUGGAAGACUCCGCACUACUGUCAGACGUCCAGUGCAGAACACGUCAUGUCAAAGGUCUUUAAGAGAGGUCAAGUGAUUUUGGCCGAAUAGGAGCAGAAGUUCAUCUGAUGAAGGAGGACCAGAGGUUACAUUUGUACAUCUGAAGUGAAAGUUCAUUUCUGUAAUGAGCACGAGGAAAGACUGUGUUUAGAGUUUUAAUAAUUGCAGUAAGGUUGAUGUUGAUGAUAAAAUCAUUUUAAAUUAUAUUGUAUUGAUGAGACUGUUGAAAUAAACAUUCUAAACUCA